GAUGAACGCUGGCGGCGUGCUUAACACAUGCAAGUCGAACGGAAAGGCUCCUGCUUGCAGGGGUACUCGAGUGGCGAACGGGUGAGUAACACGUGGGUGAUCUGCCCUGCACUUCGGGAUAAGCCUGGGAAACUGGGUCUAAUACCGGAUAGGACGAUGGUUUGGAUGCCAUUGUGGAAAGUUUUUCGGUGUGGGAUGAGCUCGCGGCCUAUCAGCUUGUUGGUGGGGUAAUGGCCUACCAAGGCGUCGACGGGUAGCCGGCCUGAGAGGGUGUACGGCCACAUUGGGCCUGAGAUACGGCCCAGACUCCUACGGGAGGCAGCAGUGGGGAAUAUUGCACAAUGGGCGCAAGCCUGAUGCAGCGACGCCGCGUGGGGGAUGACGGCCUUCGGGUUGUAAACUCCUUUCGCUAGGAACGAAGCGCAAGUGACGGUACCUGGAGAAGAAGCACCGGCUAACUACGUG
RNAcentral lists this ribosomal RNA (465 nucleotides) under uncultured bacterium. RNAcentral's name for it is "partial 16S ribosomal RNA". It matches the Rfam family "Bacterial small subunit ribosomal RNA", at positions 28 to 507 of the family's 1533-position model. The record is from RNAcentral.